This 207-nucleotide ribosomal RNA is filed under the name uncultured bacterium. RNAcentral's name for it is "partial 16S ribosomal RNA". It matches the Rfam family "Bacterial small subunit ribosomal RNA", at positions 568 to 774 of the family's 1533-position model. The record is from RNAcentral.
CAGGUAGGCGGUCUAGCAAGUCGGGUGUGAAAGCCCUGGGCUCAACCCAGGAAGUGCAUCCGAAACUGCGUGACUUGAGUACUGGAGAGGGUGGUGGAAUUCCUGGUGUAGAGGUGAAAUUCGUAGAUAUCAGGAGGAACACCCGAGGCGAAGGCGACCACCUGGACAGAUACUGACGCUGAGCUGCGAAAGCGUGGGGAGCAAACA